CACUUCAAUUAAAGGAGAGAUGUUGGCAUCUCCCCUGAUAGGGUUGGGAACAGCCUUUGGGCUUCCCUGUUAACACAUACAACUAAGGCUACCUAGCUCUCGAAGGUGUAUCUAACUUUAA
RNAcentral lists this non-coding RNA (121 nucleotides) under Cucumis melo (muskmelon). RNAcentral also lists the same sequence under 1 other name. Lineage: Eukaryota; Viridiplantae; Streptophyta; Magnoliopsida; Cucurbitales; Cucurbitaceae. The record is from RNAcentral.